ACCAUCUUCAAGAUUUGUUUUAAGAAUCCUAUUUUUCCACCAUAACAAGUAGUAGAGCUCAGCAAUAAGAGCUAACAAAAGACAACCAAAUACCACACUUAAAGCAAGUCCCACUGAGCUUAAAGAUUUCAUCUUUACAUCUAUUUGAACCAAAAUCAAGAAACUUAAAAGAUACAAAAUAAAAAUCCAAUCUUUCACCUCAAAGAUUUCAUCUUUUUACAUCUAUUUGAACCAAAAUCAAGAAACUUAAAAAGACACAAAAUAAAAAUCCAAUCUUUACAUCUAUUUGAACAAAAAAUCAAGAAACUAAAAUGACACACAAUAAAAAUCCAAUCUUUCACCUCAAAGAUUUCAUUUUUACAUCUAUUUGAACCAAAAUCAAGAAACUAAAGACACAAAAUAAAAAUCCAAUCUUUCACCUCAA
This 424-nucleotide long non-coding RNA is filed under the name Solanum tuberosum (potato). RNAcentral describes it as "long non-coding RNA (STUB_LNC006009)". Lineage: Eukaryota; Viridiplantae; Streptophyta; Magnoliopsida; Solanales; Solanaceae. The record is from RNAcentral.